AUUAAGGUGGCAGAGCAGGCAAUUGCAUAAAACUUAAGCCUUUAUAAUCAGAGGUUCAAAUCCUCUCCUUAAUA
RNAcentral lists this transfer RNA (74 nucleotides) under Phalanger vestitus. RNAcentral describes it as "tRNA-Leu". It matches the Rfam family "tRNA". Rfam says of the family: Transfer RNA (tRNA) molecules are approximately 80 nucleotides in length. Their secondary structure includes four short double-helical elements and three loops (D, anti-codon, and T loops). Lineage: Eukaryota; Metazoa; Chordata; Mammalia; Diprotodontia; Phalangeridae. The record is from RNAcentral.